GGACGAACGCUGGCGGCGUGCCUAACACAUGCAAGUCGAGCGAGGAGAUCCUUCGGGAUGAUCCUAGCGGCGGACGGGUGAGUAACACGUGGGCAACCUGCCUCAUAGAGAGGAAUAGCCUUCCGAAAGGGAGAUUAAUACCUCAUAACAUUGCAGUUUCGCAUGGAACAGCAAUUAAAGGAGUAAUCCGCUAUGAGAUGGGCCCGCGGCGCAUUAGCUAGUUGGUGAGGUAACGGCUCACCAAGGCGACGAUGCGUAGCCGACCUGAGAGGGUGAUCGGCCACAUUGGGACCGAGACACGGCCCAGACUCCUACGGGAGGCAGCAGUGGGGAAUAUUGCACAAUGGGGGAAACCCUGAUGCAGCCAACGCCGCGUGAGUGAUGACGGCCUUCGGGUUGUAAAGCUCUGUCUUCAGGGACGAUAAUGACGGUACCUGAGGAGGAAGCCACGGCUAACUACGUGCCAGCAGCAGC
This 474-nucleotide ribosomal RNA is filed under the name uncultured bacterium. Its description in RNAcentral is "bacterial SSU rRNA". It matches the Rfam family "Bacterial small subunit ribosomal RNA", at positions 27 to 518 of the family's 1533-position model. The record is from RNAcentral.